RNAcentral lists this ribosomal RNA (434 nucleotides) under uncultured bacterium. RNAcentral describes it as "partial 16S ribosomal RNA". It matches the Rfam family "Bacterial small subunit ribosomal RNA", at positions 28 to 506 of the family's 1533-position model. The record is from RNAcentral.
GAUGAACGCUGGCGGUAUGCUUAACACAUGCGAGUCGAACGGACUCUUCGGAGUUAGUGGCGGACGGGUGAGUAACGCGUGAGAAUCUGGCUUUGGGUUCGGGACAACCACUGGAAACGGUGGCUAAUACCGGAUGUGCCGAGAGGUAAAAGAGAAAUUGCCUGAAGAUGAGCUCGCGUCUGAUUAGCUAGUUGGUGAGGUAAAGGCUCACCAAGGCAGCGAUCAGUAGCUGGUCUGAGAGGAUGACCAGCCACACUGGGACUGAGACACGGCCCAGACUCCUACGGGAGGCAGCAGUGGGGAAUUUUCCGCAAUGGGCGAAAGCCUGACGGAGCAGUACCGCGUGAGGGAAGAAGGCUCUUGGGUGGUAAACCUCUUUUCUUAGGGAAGAACAAAAGGACGGUACCUAAGGAAUCAGCAUCGGCUAACUCCGG